RNAcentral lists this ribosomal RNA (429 nucleotides) under Chloroflexota bacterium. RNAcentral's name for it is "Chloroflexi bacterium partial 16S ribosomal RNA". It matches the Rfam family "Bacterial small subunit ribosomal RNA", at positions 355 to 776 of the family's 1533-position model. Lineage: Bacteria; Bacillati; Chloroflexota. The record is from RNAcentral.
UGGGGAAUAUUGCACAAUGGGCGCAAGCCUGAUGCAGCCAUGCCGCGUGUAUGAAGAAGGCCUUCGGGUUGUAAAGUACUUUCAGCGGGGAGGAAGGGAGUAAAGUUAAUACCUUUGCUCAUUGACGUUACCCGCAGAAGAAGCACCGGCUAACUCCGUGCCAGCAGCCGCGGUAAUACGGAGGGUGCAAGCGUUAAUCGGAAUUACUGGGCGUAAAGCGCACGCAGGCGGUCUGUCAAGUCGGAUGUGAAAUCCCCGGGCUCAACCUGGGAACUGCAUUCGAAACUGGCAGGCUAGAGUCUUGUAGAGGGGGGUAGAAUUCCAGGUGUAGCGGUGAAAUGCGUAGAGAUAUGGAGGAAUACCGGUGGCGAAGGCGGCCCCCUGGACAAAGACUGACGCUCAGGUGCGAAAGCGUGGGGAGCAAACAGG